Molecule: ribosomal RNA, 539 nt
Filed under: uncultured Flavobacterium sp.
Lineage: Bacteria; Pseudomonadati; Bacteroidota; Flavobacteriia; Flavobacteriales; Flavobacteriaceae
Description: bacterial SSU rRNA
Rfam family: Bacterial small subunit ribosomal RNA
Source: RNAcentral
CGGCGCACGGGUGCGUAACGCGUAUGCAAUCUACCUUUUACAGCGGGAUAGCCCAGAGAAAUUUGGAUUAAUACCGCAUAGUAUGUUUGAAUGGCAUCAUUUAAACAUUAAAGUCACAACGGUAAAAGAUGAGCAUGCGUCCCAUUAGCUUGUUGGUAAGGUAACGGCUUACCAAGGCUACGAUGGGUAGGGGUCCUGAGAGGGAGAUCCCCCACACUGGUACUGAGACACGGACCAGACUCCUACGGGAGGCAGCAGUGAGGAAUAUUGGACAAUGGGCGCAAGCCUGAUCCAGCCAUGCCGCGUGCAGGAUGACGGUCCUAUGGAUUGUAAACUGCUUUUGCACAGGAAGAAACACUACCUCGUGAGGUAGCUUGACGGUACUGUGAGAAUAAGGAUCGGCUAACUCCGUGCCAGCAGCCGCGGUAAUACGGAGGAUCCAAGCGUUAUCCGGAAUCAUUGGGUUUAAAGGGUCCGUAGGCGGGCUCGUAAGUCAGUGGUGAAAGCCCAUCGCUCAACGAUGGAACGGCCAUUGAUAC